CCGGGCCUUGUACACACCGCCGUCACGUCAUGAAAGUUGGGGGACGCCGUGAAGCCGGUGGCCGAACCCGCAAGGGGCGGAGCCGUCGAAGGCGGGAACCAGCGAUUGGGACG
This 113-nucleotide ribosomal RNA is filed under the name uncultured bacterium. RNAcentral describes it as "partial 16S ribosomal RNA". It matches the Rfam family "Bacterial small subunit ribosomal RNA", at positions 1374 to 1482 of the family's 1533-position model. The record is from RNAcentral.